This 490-nucleotide ribosomal RNA is filed under the name uncultured bacterium. RNAcentral's name for it is "partial 16S ribosomal RNA". It matches the Rfam family "Bacterial small subunit ribosomal RNA", at positions 30 to 507 of the family's 1533-position model. The record is from RNAcentral.
AUUGAACGCUGGCGGCAGGCCUAACACAUGCAAGUCGAACGGUAACAGGAAACAGCUUGCUGUUUCGCUGACGAGUGGCGGACGGGUGAGUAAUGUCUGGGAAACUGCCUGAUGGAGGGGGAUAACUACUGGAAACGGUAGCUAAUACCGCAUAACGUCGCAAGACCAAAGAGGGGGACCUUCGGGCCUCUUGCCAUCGGAUGUGCCCAGAUGGGAUUAGCUAGUAGGUGGGGUAACGGCUCACCUAGGCGACGAUCCCUAGCUGGUCUGAGAGGAUGACCAGCCACACUGGAACUGAGACACGGUCCAGACUCCUACGGGAGGCAGCAGUGGGGAAUAUUGCACAAUGGGCGCAAGCCUGAUGCAGCCAUGCCGCGUGUAUGAAGAAGGCCUUCGGGUUGUAAAGUACCUUCAGCGGGGAGGAAGGGAGUAAAGUUAAUACCUUUACUCAUUGACGUUACCCGCAGAAGAAGCACCGGCUAACUCCGUG